This 1475-nucleotide ribosomal RNA is filed under the name uncultured Bordetella sp. RNAcentral's name for it is "partial 16S-23S ribosomal RNA intergenic spacer". It matches the Rfam family "Bacterial small subunit ribosomal RNA". The record is from RNAcentral. Lineage: Bacteria; Pseudomonadati; Pseudomonadota; Betaproteobacteria; Burkholderiales; Alcaligenaceae.
CAGAGGGUUUGAUCCUGUAGCUCAGAUUGAACGCUGGCGGGAUGCUUUUACAUGCAAGUCGAACGGCAGCACGGACUUCGGUCUGGUGGCGAGUGGCGAACGGGUGAGUAAUGUAUCGGAACGUGCCUAGUAGCAGGGGAUAACUACGCGAAAGCGUAGCUAAUACCGCAUACGCCCUUCGGGGAAAGCGGGGGACCUUCGGGCCUCGCACUAUUAGAGCGGCCGAUAUCGGAUUAGCUAGUUGGUGGGGGUAACGGCUCACCAAGGCGACGAUCCGUAGCUGGUUUGAAGGAGACGACCAGCCACACUGGGACUGAGACACGGCCCAGACUCCUGGGAGGCAGCGGUGAAAUUUUGGACAAUGGGGAAACCCUGAUCGUGCUCCGUGUGCGAUGAAGGCCUUCGGGUUGUAAACACUUUUGGCAGGAAAGAAACGGCCUGGGGAUAAUACCCCGUGCAACUUUGGCCGACCGGUACCUGCAGAAUGGCACCAGCUAACUACGUGCCAGCAGCCGCGGUAAUACGUAGGGUGCAAGCGUGAAAUCGGAAUUCUGGGCGUAAAGCGUGCGCAGGCGGUUCGGAAGGAAAGAUGUGAAAUCCAGAGCUUAACUUUUGGAACUGCAUUUUUAACCACCGAGCUAGAGUGUGUCAAGAGGAGGUGGAAUUCCGCGUGUAGCAGUGAAAUGCGUAGAUAUGCGGAGGAACACCGAUAGCGAGCUGCGACCUCACCAGGAUAACACUGGCAACCAUUUUUGAAAGCGUGGGGAGCAAACAGGAUUAGAUACACAGUAGUCCGCCUAAACGAUGUCCAACUAGCUGUUGAGGGCCUUCGGGCCUUGGUAGCGCAGCUAACGCGUGAAGUUGACCGCCUGGGAAGUACGGUCGCAAGAUUAAAACUCAAAGGAAUUGGCAGGGACCCACUGGCAAUGGAUGAUGUGGAUUAAUUCGAUGCAACGCGAAAAACCUUACCUACCCUUGACAUGUCUGGAAUCCGAGAUUUGGGAGUGCUCGCAGAGAACCGGAACACAGGUGCUGCAUGGCUGUCGUCAGCUCGUGUCGUGAGAUGGGUUAAGUCCCGCAACGGGCGCAACCCUUGUCAUUAGUUGCUACGAAAGGGCACUCUAAUGAGACUGCCGGUGACAAACCGGAGGAAGGUGGGGAUGACGUCCGAUCCUCAUGGCCCUUAUGGGUAGGGCUUCACACAUCAUACAAUGGUCAGGACAGGGGAUUCGCCAGCCCGCCAGAGAGCCAAUCCCGAAGCCCGAUCGUGAUCCGGAUCGCAGUCUGCAACUCGACUGCGUGAAGUCAGAAUCUUCGUAAUCGCGGAUCGGCAUGUCGCGGUGAAUACGUUCCGGGUCUUGUACACACCGCCCGUCACACCAUGGGAGUGGGUUUUACCAGAAGUAGUUAGCCUAACCGUAAGGGAGGCGAUUACCACGGUAGAGUUCAUGACUGGGGUGAAGUCCUUCGGUAAA